This 119-nucleotide ribosomal RNA is filed under the name Olea europaea subsp. europaea. Lineage: Eukaryota; Viridiplantae; Streptophyta; Magnoliopsida; Lamiales; Oleaceae. The record is from RNAcentral.
UGGUGCGACCAUACCAGCACUAACGCACCGGAUCCCAUCAGAACUCCGAAGUUAAGCGUGGUUGGGCGAGAGUAGAACUAGGUUGGGUGAACCCCUGGGACAUCCUCGUGUUGUACUCC